This 423-nucleotide ribosomal RNA is filed under the name Verrucomicrobiota bacterium. RNAcentral describes it as "Verrucomicrobia bacterium partial 16S ribosomal RNA". It matches the Rfam family "Bacterial small subunit ribosomal RNA", at positions 355 to 776 of the family's 1533-position model. Lineage: Bacteria; Pseudomonadati; Verrucomicrobiota. The record is from RNAcentral.
UGAGGAAUAUUGGUCAAUGGGCGAGAGCCUGAACCAGCCAAGUAGCGUGCAGGAUGACGGCCCUAUGGGUUGUAAACUGCUUUUAUGUGGGGAUAAAGUGCGUGACGUGUCAUGCAUUGCAGGUACCACAUGAAUAAGGACCGGCGAAUUCCGUGCCAGCAGCCGCGGUAAUACGGAAGGUCCGGGCGUUAUCCGGAUUUAUUGGGCGUAAAGGGUACGUAGGCGGAUAAGCAAGUUAGAAGUGAAAUCCUAUAGCUCAACUAUAGUAAGCUUUUAAAACUGCUCAUCUUUAGGUAUGGAAGGGAAAUUGGAAUUCCUAGUGUAGCGGUGAAAUGCGCAGAUAUUAGGAGGAAUACCGGUGGCGAAGGCGACUUUCUGGCCAUAAACUGACGCUGAGGUACGAAAGCGUGGGUAGCAAACAGG